RNAcentral lists this small RNA (170 nucleotides) under bovine gut metagenome. RNAcentral's name for it is "Bacteroidales-1 6S-Bacteroidales RNA suggested". It matches the Rfam family "Bacteroidales-1 6S-Bacteroidales RNA suggested". The record is from RNAcentral.
GCUGAUUGGGAUACUCUUCAAAUUUUUCAUGAAAUGCCGAGAAAAGUAUUCUCGUCAAUGGCGGGCCUCAACCAUUUGGUGUCUUCGCGACCGGAGGAUUACAAAGACUUGGAUACCCUCAAAUCCUGUAUUUAUCGGAGUUUCAUCACAUCCCUUUGAUGUGGCUUUAU